This 466-nucleotide unclassified non-coding RNA is filed under the name Hevea brasiliensis (rubber tree). Lineage: Eukaryota; Viridiplantae; Streptophyta; Magnoliopsida; Malpighiales; Euphorbiaceae. The record is from RNAcentral.
AUGAGUCGGUGGAAGAUUCAGCCAUUCAAGCUGAUUCCAGAUCUCUUGCUACGUUACUUUUGAUACGUGAUAUUCAGGCAAAGCGUCUCCCAUAUAGAGAGNNNNGGUGACCCAAGUUCACCGAGGAAGCUUCUCACAAGGCUCUUGGAUUGGGGAGAUGCAACAGGCUUCUGAUAAAUCAGUAAUAAUCAGUGAAAUUCUGGACCCUAGGACUAAAAAUCUGUUAUCCAUGUCAAGAAUCAGUGACUAUGUUUUAUCAAAUGAACUUGUCAGCAUGGCAUUGGCCAUGGUUGCAGAGGAUAAACAAAUAAAUGACGUAUUGGAAGAGCUCUUUGCGGAGGAGGGAAAUGAGAUGCAUAUAAGGCAAGCAGAUCUCUACCUUCGUGAAGGUGAGGAAUUGAGCUUCUAUGAAAUAAUCUUACGAGCCCGACAGAGGAGAGAGAUUGUCAUCGGUUACCGUUUGGCA